CUCGUCAACGCAAAGAGAAGAAGGCGAAGCAGAGAAGCCGGCCUCAGGAGGAGGAGGUCUGAAGGCCUCUGGGGUGCGCUACGCGGGGCGCCGGAGCUUCCACCGGCCCUUCCUCUUCUCGUCCUCCUUCCCGCCGCCGCGGCCGCGGCCUCUCGUAGAGGAGUGGCUGGCGCAGGAGAGGGAGGCGCGGGCGGACGUGCUGCGGGAGAGGGAGCCGGAGCGGUCCAGACUACCGGUGCCACGUUUUUUUACCGUCAGAUGACUACGACCUUAAGUCAGAGUGCGCUAGUUUCGUCACUGACGAAAAGAGCCAACAAACAGUUGACUUUACGACGCCGAAGGAGGAUAUUUCCUCAGCUAAAGCCUAUAAGAGCAUGAGAACCUUCCACAAGAAGUCUGUUUCUUGCAAAGUCAAGACUAGGUUCGUCGUCUACACUCGAGUUUCAAUCAAAGGUCGUAUCCGUUAAGCUAAGCCGUUAUGGGUUAAAACCUCUAACAAAGCGGGGAGAGUACGGUCAACAGCCGUGUGGUCAAUGGAUGUCGAUAGAGUACACGUUCCCGCUACUUAACGUAUAACUUAUCGGAUCACUGCCGCUCUCCAAGUUGAGUACGUCUUUAAAACCUUUGGAACCUCUCUUGGUUACGUCAACGUUCAUAACAAAGUCGAGACGUCUCAAUGUGAGGACUACAGGUAGGUGACUCAAUAGACUGGCUCUACUAUAGUGACGAUUCUUGGUAUGACACCUAAACCGGAAGGAGUUCUAUGGUACAUACCUCAUUACCGUUGGACUACCCCUUCAAUCGUGUAAUGACAGAACGGUGACUUUGUUGCCAACAACGAUUUCAAGAAUCCGACAUACGACGAAAUCGAAAUACACCGGUACCUCGAUACUAGGAAGAGUUCUUGCUUCAGAAUUACCGAUUCUAAACACUCGAGCACCCUUGCAGGGUAGGCUCAUCAUGAUCCUAACUUCGCAAGUUUGAGACGGUAUAAGAAAACUCUAGAAGCUUCCCGACAUCAGUCAAUUACUGAAGUGCGACGGUCGGAUAACAACUUCCGUAUUAGCUACGUUACGCACGUUUCCUACUAUUUAACAAUCAUUGUCUCCCCACAGCAUGACGUGACGACCACGAGGCAAUACGACCCUUAGUAGUGGUUACGAAAACCAGAUUACGGUAACUAUUUCAUAAUAUAUCGUAAGAAUGGCCAGCGACGGAGAGGAGUGUAGUUUCACUAUUUCAUAACACGCUACUACUCGAUAAACUAUACCAAAGGUUUUUGAAGUACCUAUAUGUAGGUAUGCAGACCCUAUAUGAACCUAUAGAUCACCACGUAACGUGACUCCUAGUGGUAGGACAUUCCUUUCCCUUUCCAGUAUCGAACGUGCGUGACUAUAGAACACGAACGAACGACCGGUGUCUACAAUACGCGUUUUCGUCGGGGUACUGUAAUAGGUUUCUACACGUCCUCGGCCGAAACUCCCGUCAAGACUACUACGAAGAGAGAGGGUUACCUAUAUAAGUCAUACUCCGUUCAAAAUUUGAAAGUCUUCCAGAAGGUAUAAACCCACUGCCGAUAAACUUGCAAGACAACAGUAGUAAUCUUAGUUUAUGAUGCUCUUCACAACGGUGUAGAAAACUGUCAAAGUUUUAAUACUGGUUGGAGUACUUGGAGCGUACAAACCACGACAGUGCUGGAAUGGUAUUAGAGGAAUUGUUCUCCUUAGGAUAACUACACAACAGGUAGUAAUAGUUCCUUACAGAGGUGUUAUUAUAUGUAUAAUGCUCCAGUUUUCAGUGAAGGGUAGACGUAAAAACAAAACUUCCUUCAAGUACGACAACGAUAGAGCCACUUCUCACCCUCCCACUUUUGUAUCAGAAUAAGAUGCCAGAACAACCCGACAAAUUAGAAGACUCCUCGUGAUGAAAUCAAACACAAGUCACAUUCUCCUUCAACCUACAACCCUAAGACACGGUACUGACGUCUCUAGUCAUAUGGCUUCUAAAAGAAUAUCAAGAAGUUGCACGAGAUUCAGUUUCGAACUCAAGACCUGGCUUCGAGAUAUAACGUGUGUAGGACUCAAACAAACCGGAGACGCCAAGAGGUUCGUUCAACCCGCCCUUCUACUCAUCACGUAAUCUAUUAUUGCUAGAUCGACUAGACCUUGAAAACGAAAGUCUACCACUUAGAUAUUUAUGAGUGUGUCGGUAGUAUAGUCGUUCCACAGGAUUCGACAACGGUAGACCUUUUACAGAUGAACCGUCACUGCUUUUUCAAUUUCUACUUACCCCUUUUAGUCACAUGGCUCAAGUUUACAGACUAGCACAUCUAUCGGUGCGGAACUUCUUCUAAAACCUCAUGUGUAUAUGACCAAAACACUACUUUCUCGUUGGGUCUACCUUGAGGCUAAUAUGGUCUAUACUAGAAUGACAACGUGAACCUGGACAACUCGUAAGUAAGAGCCUGUAUUAAAACCUCCGAGUCAGUUUGCUCCUUUACUUCACACUGGUACCCGGCACGGUUAACAGUUGGGGCGUGCAAGUAUCGGUAUUCUGGCACGACUAGUACUCGACGCUAAUGGAGGCCCGUAAUAAAGCUAGGCCCUACGUGCUCUCGAAGAGCCUGCAGUAGUCCCAAGGCGAGCCCACCGUUCGCGACCUGUUUGAUCAGGUGACCAAGAUGAGUCCGCUCGACGGGUCACAGCGGGAGCUGACGGCCACCUUGUUGGACUCGUCGCUGCUCGUCGCGAGGGUGGACUUGCGGAUGCGCCUCGACAGCAGCGACCGUCUCAAGACCAAGGACCUCCCCCACUUCCUCCUCUCGGACAGCCGCCGGAGCAGGGAGGACCCGAGCUCGUGCUCGCGGCGGCGCCAGCUCAAGCAGCGCAAGCGACGGUUGGACCCGGUCACCCUCUACCAGCUCCGGCCGCAGGCGUCGCACCGCGUGGACAUGGGGGCCGACGCCCUGAGGCCAGCCGACCUCGCCGAGCUGCUCCUCGACGAGUUGUACGACGCCUGGCUCAUGCAGGCCAUGAGCGUCGUGCCCCCGCCUCCAUUGACUUACCAUGACGUACCUAGACUUACGUGUAGUGUCACGCGAAACAUCUAUGUCCCUACGACAGUAUGGAAAAAAGUGUCUCUUAUACGUCACAUAAUAACGGACCCAA
Molecule: ribosomal RNA, 3167 nt
Filed under: Triticum aestivum (bread wheat)
Lineage: Eukaryota; Viridiplantae; Streptophyta; Magnoliopsida; Poales; Poaceae
Description: partial small subunit ribosomal RNA
Source: RNAcentral